RNAcentral lists this unclassified non-coding RNA (874 nucleotides) under Hevea brasiliensis (rubber tree). Lineage: Eukaryota; Viridiplantae; Streptophyta; Magnoliopsida; Malpighiales; Euphorbiaceae. The record is from RNAcentral.
GCAUCCUCUGCUAUCUUGUAUUUCUCCAAGGUCUCAAUGCUUUUUGCUAGUAAAAAUGCUUUCUCCUUCUCCUACUCCAAUUUCUUCAAUUUUCUUUCCUGAGAUUUGCUCAACUUGGGGUUUUUCUUUUUUGGAACCCUUCAUUCUCCAUGAAUUUUUCAUUUGCACUUCCAUAUUGCCUCUCUUUAGUUGAACUGCGCCGCCCUAAAAUCUCAAAUAAUUAGUAAUUCUUUAUUAAUUCUCUCUCUAUAAAUAAGAGGAUGUUGAAGAGGAUUUAAGGAGAGAAUGCGAGACGCAGCUGCUAAACAGAAAAUCGAGAAUGAUUGGCAAUUGCUUGCUAGUUGCUAUGGGUGGAAAUAAAGAAAAAUACUUUAACAAGGGUAAAUAGGCGUUAGUGGGAGAGGAAAAUAGAGGAAAGAAUAAAACAUAAACAAAAAUGGAGAAAGCGAAGAAAGAGGUUCUUAUACCUAACCUUAGUAGUUUUCAAACCCAGACACAGAAUAAUCACUCAACACUCCUUAACUUAGAAAACCUUCAAAGAUAACCCAGAAAAUCAAUCCAUGAAAAUCGAUCGAGGAACAUCUUCAAACAAAAGCCAUGGAACAUCUUCAUACAAAACCCAAAAAAUCAACCUGGAUUCAACUUAAUAAACCUAGAAAUUCAAGAAACCCAUUAACACACCCGAACUCAACAAACCCAAAAAUCCGCGGCCAUGAGAGUUGCCACUAGUCGGUAAAGUGGCAAUAUGAUACUAAAGAAAUAUGAGACUAAGGAUUAGGGGAAAUUCUGAAAGAGGAAAGGUUAAAACUUAAAGAAAAUCAGAAAAAAGAACUGCUAAGGUUGGAGUAUAUGUGUCGAAGGAGAGAGACGGUGG